UCACCAAGGCGACGAUCCCUAGCUGGUCUGAGAGGAUGACCAGCCACACUGGAACUGAGACACGGUCCAGACUCCUACGGGAGGCAGCAGUGGGGAAUAUUGCACAAUGGGCGCAAGCCUGAUGCAGCCAUGCCGCGUGUAUGAAGAAGGCCUUCGGGUUGUAAAGUACUUUCAGCGGGGAGGAAGGGAGUAAAGUUAAUACCUUUGCUCAUUGACGUUACCCGCAGAAGAAGCACCGGCUAACUCCGUGCCAGCAGCCGCGGUAAUACGGAGGGUGCAAGCGUUAAUCGGAAUUACUGGGCGUAAAGCGCACGCAGGCGGUUUGUUAAGUCAGAUGUGAAAUCCCCGGGCUCAACCUGGGAACUGCAUCUGAUACUGGCAAGCUUGAGUCUCGUAGAGGGGGGUAGAAUUCCAGGUGUAGCGGUGAAAUGCGUAGAGAUCUGGAGGAA
This 449-nucleotide ribosomal RNA is filed under the name Escherichia coli. RNAcentral's name for it is "bacterial SSU rRNA". It matches the Rfam family "Bacterial small subunit ribosomal RNA", at positions 265 to 706 of the family's 1533-position model. Lineage: Bacteria; Pseudomonadati; Pseudomonadota; Gammaproteobacteria; Enterobacterales; Enterobacteriaceae. The record is from RNAcentral.